Molecule: ribosomal RNA, 465 nt
Filed under: uncultured bacterium
Lineage: Bacteria
Description: bacterial SSU rRNA
Rfam family: Bacterial small subunit ribosomal RNA
Source: RNAcentral
GGGCCCGCACAAGCGGAGGAACAUGUGGUUUAAUUCGAUGAUACGCGAGGAACCUUACCCGGGCUUGAAUUGCUGGUGAACGAUACAGAGAUGUAGAGGUCCUUCGGGACACCAGUGAAGGUGCUGCAUGGUUGUCGUCAGCUCGUGCCGUGAGGUGUCGGCUUAAGUGCCAUAACGAGCGCAACCCCUUUCCUCAGUUGCCAUCAGUUCGAGCUGGGCACUCUGGGGACACUGCCACCGCAAGGUGUGAGGAAGGUGGGGAUGACGUCAAAUCAGCACGGCCCUUACGUCCGGGGCUACACACGUGUUACAAUGGGGGGUACAGAGAGCCGGUGGCGCGCAAGCUCCAUCCAAUCCUUAAAGCCCUCCUCAGUUCGGACUGGGGUCUGCAACCCGACCCCACGAAGCUGGAUUCGCUAGUAAUCGCGCAUCAGCCAUGGCGCGGUGAAUACGUUCCCGGGCCUU